RNAcentral lists this ribosomal RNA (301 nucleotides) under uncultured bacterium. RNAcentral describes it as "partial 16S ribosomal RNA". It matches the Rfam family "Bacterial small subunit ribosomal RNA", at positions 509 to 807 of the family's 1533-position model. The record is from RNAcentral.
CAGUCGCCACGGGAAUACGUAGGUGGCAAGCGUUGUCCGGAAUUAUUGGGCGCAAAGGGCUCGCAGGCGGUUUCUUAAGUCUGAUGUGAAAGCCCCCGGCUCAACCGGGGAGGGUCAUUGGAAACUGGGAAACUUGAGUGCAGAAGAGGAGAGUGGAAUUCCACGUGUAGCGGUGAAAUGCGUAGAGAUGUGGAGGAACACCAGUGGCGAAGGCGACUCUCUGGUCUGUAACUGACGCUGAGGAGCGAAAGCGUGGGGAGCGAACAGGAUUAGAUACCCCAGUAGUCCCUGUCUCUUAUAC